UAGCAGCACGUAAAUACUGGAGU
This 23-nucleotide non-coding RNA is filed under the name Xenopus tropicalis (tropical clawed frog). Lineage: Eukaryota; Metazoa; Chordata; Amphibia; Anura; Pipidae. The record is from RNAcentral. RNAcentral also lists the same sequence under 4 other names.